Ictalurus punctatus (channel catfish) is the source of this 2766-nucleotide long non-coding RNA. RefSeq lists it as uncharacterized. The transcript has 3 exons. The record is from RefSeq and is a predicted model, not a curated record. Lineage: Eukaryota; Metazoa; Chordata; Actinopteri; Siluriformes; Ictaluridae.
UCAUCUUUUUUUUUUUUCUUUUAGUCAUCUUCUUCGAUAAAAGGGUUUCUGCAAUUAGCUAGCUGACUACUUGAUUAAAAGGAGGGAAGUUUACUUCCUGACCUCACAACGACCCGUGUGCGUUACGCAUUAUCCAAUAAAAAUUUGGAGUUGUCCCGGAGGACAGCUGUGAUUGGCAACCAUGAACAUGAGCGGUAGGAAAUGAAUGGAUUGAAAUACAUGAGAAUGUUUUAUAUUUUUAACGUUAUUAUUUUUUUUUAAUUAAAGAUUUGUCUGCGAGCCAGAUGCAGCCAUCAAAAGAGCCACAUCUGGCUCGCGAGCCAUAGGUUCCCGACCCCUGCUCUAAACAGUAAAACGAAAUCCGAAAGUCGGGUUAUGGCGGAGUGUAGUUUUUUUUGACUGCACUAAUAGUUCGUAAACACCACACAGGAAGUAGGAAAAGAACUACAUUUCCCAUCUGCCCUGGCUGUCACAGACUAAUAGCACCAGCUGCUUUCCAUUGCCCUAAGGAGUGAUUCUACUGCUGCAACGAGACCAAAUACAACGAAAGUAUUGAUGCUGUAAAAGAAGACGGAUCUUUUGGUAGGCUGGUUAAUGAUGACCACAAGCACCCAAAUGGCAGAAUGCAGAAGACUGAAGUGGAUGGAAGCCCACAUCUUGGUCUGUUUGCUUUAACAGACUUUAAAGAAGGUGAUGAAUUACCUGCAAUUACGGAGGAGGAGUCUGGCCUUGGUGUAGCAAGAUUUUCCAAAUGUCUAUUAAAUAUGCAGAUUAUGGAGGGGGACACUGCUGAGAGCAAUGGCCAGGAGAAACAGCAGCCAUCACAGUCUACACCUUUUCUGGAUCAUAAAUAUUAGAAUUGUGUAGUUUGCUGGCACUUUUAAUCCUGCCUUUCAAUCACACCUCUCCAUAAAGCUUCAGUGUGCUACCCAUUUACAUGUUUAGGCUGCCUGGAAUCAAAAUUAGCUACCUCAACAUACAUUAUUAAGUUGUUACUGUCACUUUUUAGCUUAGUCAGUUAAGUGGAUAUAGAAUUGUGUUUAUGACAUUUGGUUGUGUGUCUGUGUUUGGCUAGUAUCUUUAUUUUUCUCAAUAUGUUUAACUUUGAGCUGGCUAUAUGUAGUAAGCACAAGUGUUAUGUCAAACUUAAAUGAGUCCAAGUUCAUUCAUGGCACAUGUGAGCUUAGUAGUUGUGCACUUUAAUGGGCAAAUAUUUGUUGUCUUUUACAGUAAAGAAGCUCAAGACUCAAGUUGUCUUUAUAAUGUUGAAUAGACAAGGUUUUUUCAUCUUACUGACAAUUUUUCACUUGAUUAGAGAUCCAGACCAAUAAACAAAUCCUUCAUGCAGCUAAAAUAUCAAAAGGAUGAGUUUCUUUGUCAUUUUGACUUGCCAAAAUGACUGGGGAUAGUGUUAAUUUGUGAUGCAUGCCUGUGAUAAAUAAGUGAGGUUCAGUACAGCAAGCACCUCUACUUUCUAUUCCACAAAAAAAAUUGUAUACUUUGGAGCAGGAAAUGAAAAGCUUCUUAGAAUUAUAGCCUCAAAACUAAUAAUAGCACUGGUAACACCUUCCUUAACAAGUUCCUAGGUUUCUCAAAAGGUUCCUCUGUUGGAAAUAGAAAGCUCCAAAGAAAUGUAGUCUGUUAUCUAUUACGUGCAGAUAUUGAAAUUUGUGUAAGAGAGCUUUUUGAAACCAAACUUUCACUGAUUGCAUAUUUCACAAAUAAGGCUAAGAGUCCUUCGUAUAAACAAUUAAGAACAACUGUUCAAUUUAAUUUCAUGAGAAGCUUAAACCUUCAAAUAGAGAAAAUACACAUCAUAUCUGCUUUACAGACAGCUCUCUAAAUUAGACAUACUUAGUUUGUAAUUUUGUAUAAAUAAUUAGAGUUAAAUUGACAACUUUGUUUUUUAAAACCAUGUCCCCUUGUUGAACUACCUGAUCUGUGUGUAUGCAGAUUAACUAUGUAGUGAUGUCCCCUCUACAACAUGAAAACCAGUUAAUUUUCUGUGUAUGAAAAUUAGCUAUCUAGUGAUGUCCCCACUACAACAUGAAAACCAGUUAAUUUGCUGUGCAUGCAAAUUAGGUCCCCAUUAAUGAUGAGUUCUUGUUAUGUCCACAUUAGGUGUGAAAAAACCAAGCACAGAAAUUUGGUGAUUUAAAUCCAGAAUUUGAGAUGAUAUGUGUUCUCAGGCUUAAAUUAUACAUGCCUGAUUUUUUUUCACAUCUGUAGGACCUCAGGAAAGUGGUGUCCCCACAAUACAUGGGUGGGACUACUGACCCCAGAAUGUUAUAAUUACAAGAAUGUCUGUGUGUGUGUGUGUGUGUGUGUGUGUGUGUGUGUGUGUGUGUUAAAGGUACAGGAGCAGUCUGGCUGUGCAGCUACAGUAAAUGUUAAUAAUAAUAAUAGGACGUUAUUUAAAAGCUCAUACAGCUGAUGUUAUUUUUAUUUAGUAGUUAAUUUAACAUGCUAUGCUAACAUGUAAACAAUAAGAUGAUAUUACCUGACGUCCAUUUUACACUCAAUAUUGUCUGUUUCUGUUCUAUUUCACCAACAAGAAUAUUUCCAAACAAAGCCACAGCAGGUCCUGCUCCUUUUUCCUCCUAAUUCCCUCAUUUCUCCACGUUGGGAUUAAUAAAGUAUUAUCGUAUCUCAUCUUUUGUUCAAAUGGGAGAUUUCUUAUUUAUUUUAUUUAUUUUGUUUAUUUUUAAAUAGGAGACUUUUUAAUACUUUUAUUAAAAAAUGGCUUCAUGUUUCAAUUAUAAUGAA